GUCUCUCUCUGUCUCUCUCUGUCUCCCUCUCUCUCUGGUUUUGGUUUUGGUUUUGGUUUUUAAUGGCUGCACCUGCUGCACAUGGAGUUUCCCAGGCUAGGGGUCUAAUCAGAACUACAGCUGCCGGCAUAUACCACAGCCACAGCAAGUCACGAUGUGAGCCGAGUCGGUGACCUACAGCACAGCGCAUGGCAACACCAGAUCCUUAACCCACUGAGCGAGUCCAGGGAUCAAACCUGCAGCCUCAUGCUUUCUAGUCAGUUUUGGUUCCCCGUGCCACAACGGAACUCCAAUUUCCUCCUUUUGUCUGUCAGUUUCAACUAUGCAAGUCUACACUGUUCAAAUCAGUGGAGACCUACAUUUUUCCUGGGUUGGACGAGUGUUGACGGAAUGUCUCUCCCAAUGCAUGACUGAUUGAAAAAUUGACAGCAGCCUCUAGAAACUGGAAGUGCGGCUGAGAGCAAUGUUACCAGCAGAGAAUUGCCCUCCUUGCAAGAGAAUUUGGUGGGUUUUGGUCAAAGUACACAUAAGAAUUCCUACAGGAAGAUUGAAGCCUUUGUCCAGGAUGACCUCUGUGUUUUCUUUGGGACCGUGGACUCGAGGAGUGUUUCCUUUUGGGUUUUGCUGGCAGAAAGACCAUGAAAAUUCUCAUGUCCAUAGAGACCAGGAAGCUUAGAUUCUCACACUGUUUUCUUGCACUAGAUGCCGGCCGAUGACGCAACUAAUAAUAAUGGCAUGGCUUUGGAGCGCCCCACUCCAGUGACAAACAAUCGGGGUGAAGAAGAAGAAGAUUGCAUAGGAUGCUGCUUCCGGAUCCAAAGGAACAAUCGACAGACGUCACAAAGAUCCACCUCUGGCUGCAUCAGAAAUUAUGCUCCUGGCGCCACCAGCGAGUGCACCCCGCUAAUGGGUCGGGGACAGGUACGUGGAGAUUUUCUCCUUCGGUGCAUGCAAGAAUAAUUUUUCUUUAGGGUCCCCUGUAUACGAAUGAACUCGGAAGUAUUUUGUGGUAUCCUUUGUGCGUGCGUGUGCGUGCGUGUGCGUGUGUGUGUCCAAGUUGAAACAUACUUAGUCAGGUGGUAGUGUUUAUAUACCUGUGGAAAUAAAACGACUUUGAAAUCUCA
RNAcentral lists this long non-coding RNA (1124 nucleotides) under Sus scrofa (pig). Its description in RNAcentral is "lncRNA (ENSSSCG00070010442.1)". The record is from RNAcentral. Lineage: Eukaryota; Metazoa; Chordata; Mammalia; Artiodactyla; Suidae.